RNAcentral lists this ribosomal RNA (424 nucleotides) under uncultured bacterium. RNAcentral describes it as "bacterial SSU rRNA". It matches the Rfam family "Bacterial small subunit ribosomal RNA", at positions 355 to 776 of the family's 1533-position model. The record is from RNAcentral.
UAAGGAAUAUUGGUCAAUGGGCGCAAGCCUGAACCAGCCACGCCGCGUGAAGGAUGACGGCCCUAUGGGUUGUAAACUUCUUUUCUACGGGGAUAAAUCUCAUUACGUGUAAUGAGUUGAAGGUACCGUAGGAAUAAGCAUCGGCUAACUCCGUGCCAGCAGCCGCGGUAAUACGGAGGAUGCAAGCGUUAUCCGGAUUCAUUGGGUUUAAAGGGUGCGUAGGCGGGAUGGUAAGUCAGGGGUGAAAGCCAACAGCUCAACUGUUGAAUUGCCUUUGAUACUGCUAUUCUUGAGUAUGUUUGAAGUGGGCGGAAUGUGACAUGUAGCGGUGAAAUGCGUAGAGAUGUCACAGAACACCGAUUGCGAAGGCAGCUCACUAAGCCAUUACUGACGCUGAGGCACGAAAGCGUGGGGAUCAAACAGG